AUGAAUCUACUAUUUUGGAACUAUCGAGGGGCGGGGAACUGCCAGACAGUUCAUAAGGUUAUGGCCCUCUCAAAAGCCAAUUCCCUGUCAUUUCUCUUUCUUUGUGAGACAAGGAAGACGGUAGAAAAGAUGGAACGAGUUAAAUGGAGAUUGCAAUUGAAUGGAUUUUGUGGCAUGGAUAGUCUAGUUCUCAGUAGUGGCCUGGCUCUAUAUUGGGAUGAUACACUAAAUAUGUCUAUCUUAGAUUCUUGCCAACGUUUUUAUUGA
RNAcentral lists this ribosomal RNA (267 nucleotides) under Triticum aestivum (bread wheat). RNAcentral describes it as "partial small subunit ribosomal RNA". The record is from RNAcentral. Lineage: Eukaryota; Viridiplantae; Streptophyta; Magnoliopsida; Poales; Poaceae.